Molecule: non-coding RNA, 834 nt
Organism: Pelodiscus sinensis (Chinese soft-shelled turtle)
Lineage: Eukaryota; Metazoa; Chordata; Testudines; Trionychidae
Source: RefSeq, a predicted model, not a curated record
GGCUCUGGGGGAGCAAUGGUUGCAUUUGCCCUGCAGCAGCCUGGGCUGCCAGUUGGUUGGCAGUGCUGCUGGAGCCCAUGCUGCUGCACAUCUUGGGUCAGUGUGGUGGGGAAGCAGGAGCCUGGCACACGGCAUCCCCUUGUACCAUGAGAGCCAGCAGAGGUAGCAGCAGCAGCAGCAGCAAGGCAUGCACAGGGAUGAGUUUGUUGGCUCCCAAACCUGGCUUCCUGUGCAAGUGGAGCAGCCACUGCUGCAGCAGCACUGGCAGUUACCAGAGAAGCAGCAGCUGGUGUCCGAGUGGCCAUGGCUCCCAUGCUCGGGUCACCACAGCGGACAGCAGGAGCAGCAGCUGGGGCUCCCCAGUGAAGUCAGCCCACCCACCCCUGCAACAACAGCACCCUAGGAGCUCUGCUGUGCAGAAGAGCUUUGUGGACUUGUUGGGAGCACUGGAGCUCUAUGCCAGUGAACCAUUAAGGUGCCACGCUUUUAGAUGGAGCAUCGCGAGUUGAGGGUGAGCCAUGCUGAUUUGCAGGUGAUAAAGGAGGGGCCUGAAUACCCAAGGAUUGAAAGAUGGCCCUGGAGUCUUUCAUGGACUGAAAAAACGCAUUGAUCUUCGAGGAGAAGAAACUGUUACCCUCAAAGGGCAGAUCUUCUACAGCUGUCUGAAGUUGCGUCGGGAAGGCCGAGGAGUUGUAGCAAGCGGCCUUGCGCAUAGUAACUUCUGUAGCCAAUGCUCUAGUGGCUCUGUCCGCUGCAUCAAGUGCCACCUGGAGCGCUGUCCAUGAAAUUGCCCGGCCCUCAGAGACAAUGGCCUCAAAGUGCCCUUUUUUACUG